Molecule: ribosomal RNA, 303 nt
Filed under: Ligilactobacillus salivarius
Lineage: Bacteria; Bacillati; Bacillota; Bacilli; Lactobacillales; Lactobacillaceae
Description: partial 23S ribosomal RNA
Rfam family: Bacterial large subunit ribosomal RNA
Source: RNAcentral
GAGACAGUUCGGUCCCUAUCCGUCGCGGGCGUAGGAAAUUUGAGAGGAUCUGUCCUUAGUACGAGAGGACCGGGAUGGACAUACCGCUGGUGUACCAGUUGUUCCGCCAGGAGCAUCGCUGGGUAGCUAAGUAUGGAUGAGAUAAACGCUGAAAGCAUCUAAGUGCGAAACUCACCUCGAGAUAAGAUUUCCCAUUACGUAAGUAAGUAAGAUCCCUGAAAGAUGAUCAGGUAGAUAGGAUGGAAGUGGAAGUGCUGUGAGGUAUGGAGCGGACCAUUACUAAUCGAUCGAGGACUUAACCAA